CCAGUUAGCAAAAGCCCAUUUAGGACCCGGUUGAAGGUAAAUUUUUUAGGAAGAAGAGGCGGCCAGAUUUGCUUAGCAACCUCAAGAUCUCCUUUGCGAAAUCUUGAUUACCAGUUAGCAAAAGCCCAUUUAGGACUAGGUUGAAGGUAAAUUUUUGAGGAAGAAAUCCUCUGUCAACCAUUUCUGUCAAUAGUUUCCCAGCCACUAAUAAAUCAUCUGAUUUUUUCCUAACAAACAUUGCACUUAUCAAAAUAUUAUAUGUAUCCAGAUUAGGUAUACAACCCCCAGUACUCAUCCUCUCAAACACCCUCAGGCCCUUCUCAAUUUCCCCUUCAUCACAAUAGCAUCGGAUGACAACAUUAUAAGUCUGAACAUUUGGUUCACACCCAUCCUCUUUCAUCUUAUCCAUAUAUCCGCCGAUACUCAUCCUCUCAAACACCCUCAGGCCUUUCUCAAUUUUCCCUUCAUCACAAUAGCAUCGGAUGACAACAUUAUAAGUCUGAACAUUUGAUUCCCACCCAUCCUCUUUCAUCUUAUCCAUAUAUUCCGUAGCCCUGUCCAUUUUUCCAACAUGGCACAAUCCCCUGAUAAUGGCAUUAUAAGUUGUGGCAUUCGGCAAAUAACCUUUCCUCAACAUCUCAUCGAACACCAAAAUAGCAUUUUCCACACUAUAUUUCUUACACAAGACUUGUAUCAACGCAUUAUAUGUUGCAACGGAGGGAAGUAUGCCAGCUCCCAGACAAAAUAGCAUUUUCCACACUUUCUUACAAAAACUUGUAUCAGCGCAUUAUAAGUUGCAACGGAGGGAAGUAUGCCAGCUCCCACCAUUUCAUUGAACACCUUUUGCGCCUUCUCAACUUCACCCGCAACACCAAAUCCGUGAACCAUAGUAGUGUAAGUAACAACAUCAAUAUCACAUUUCCUCCUUUUCAUCUGCAAAAGGAAUUCCCGUUCGCUAGUGUGUUAUAACUAAUCGUAUCAGCUCUGAACCUGCUCCUAAACAUCUUGAACAAAUUAUAAGCCAUCUCGGCCCGUUUAGAUUUACAAAGCACGUCAAGGAAUGCAUUGAAAGAAUUCAAAUCCUGAGGGCAACCAUGUUUAUGCAUAGACAGGAAAACCUUCAACGCUUUAUCAGCUUUCCCAGCAGAUACAUACCUCUAAGUGAUGAUAGCGAAUGUUUUCGGGCUCGGGCUGAGUCGCCGAGAUCGCAUUCGGGCCACGAGCUUCCAAACGAUCUUGUAAUCGCGCAUACGAGCAGCGAUGUCAAUAGCAUGGUCAAAGGCUGUAGUAGAGUGAGCAUAGGAACGAUGGUGAUCGAGGAGGUUGAAAAAAUGGAGGGCUUUAGGGCCGUAAUUCCAGAGACGCUUUAGGACAGCGUGAACGAGGUCAGGAGUCCAUUGGGUGAGGUUGUGAAGGGUGUUUGAUAAUGAUUCUGGUUGGUUUGAAGUAUGAGGUUGGAGAUUGUGAUGGGGUCUGGUGGUGACUGUGACGGCGAUUGUGGUGGUGACGGUGGUGGAGGAGAGGUGAAAUGGCGGAGGGAGAUGGAAAUGGGAUUUAGAGGUGAUUUGAUGAUUGUAGAAUUGUGCAGAUUCAGCAUUUCACCGUUCUGCUGCUUAUUUCCCUAAAGAGUAAAAACUGCGUGCAAACAAGUGUUGACGAACCCUUCAACUCAUGUUGGCUAAUUUUCUUAUUUUAUUUUUUAGGCGGGUAAUCAAUUAGACUAACCUCUAAAAUAAAUUGAAUUAGAUUAAUUCAAUAUUUUUAAAUUAAAAUUUAGAUACACAAAACUAUAUGAAAAAUCUCACAAUAUAAAUAUAAUGAUAAAUAUAUUUUAAAAUGUAGGUCCAAAUCCACAUAAUUUGACUUCGAAGAAGCAAAACAUGACAAUUAAUUUGGGACUGAGGGAAUAAAAGGAUUGCUUGGUUUGGAAAAUUGUGAGAUUAUAAUCACAGAUAUGAGGUAAACAUAUCAUUAUUUCAGUAUAAAAUUAAUCUAAGUAUUAGUUAAUAUUAAUAACCAAACACAAGAUAAAUGUAAUUUAAUAUUUUAUAUCAAAAUUAGUAUUCAUAGUGUUGAUAACCAAACGACUCCUAAUAGUAGCACGUAACCAAGUACGGUCGAAGCACCCUAGUCCAGCAUAUUUCUUUGACCACAUGCUAUAGUCUUGCAUUAAAAUAUUUUCUUGAAAAAUAACUUCAGUUAUAAAAUAUGUCUUUACAACUUCUACCCUAUGAGACGUAUCAACUUUAAGGUAGUUUGAUACAAAACUUGUUAACUAUAAUACGUGGUGUAUCUGAAAUUAGAGCGUUUAAUGCAAUUAACCGUACUAUAUUUUAUACCUAUAAAUAGAUACUUGAGCAUAAAUGAAGUUAUUACUCCCUUUAUGAUUUGUGUCUCUUCAUCUAUUUACCCAGCUUCCAUUUUAAACGAGUCAUUGGCAAAACAUGAACAUUCGCAUGGCACUUCAAAUUUUAGCAAUUAUAUCCAGGCCGAGAUUGCUAGCUCAGCACAGCCUCAGAGAAUUUGAAGUAGAAGUUAUAUUUAAAGAACUUCUUAGAAAUGGACCCUUACAGGAUUGAAGCAUAUGAGGUGAUGGGGAUACCAUUUUUUUGCACUUCAUUAUUUUAAAAAGUCAGUGUUGUUGCAGCCAAAGGAUUCUCGAGUGUGGAUGGCCCGAUGUUAAGAGAACAGCUGCAUAUGCUUGAGGAGGCAUAUCAAUACUGGAAGGAUUUCGAAAGGAUGGAUGCUGAAGAACGGAAAGGUCUAAAUCUGGUUGAAGCUUUAAUGUUUCUUGCCAGAUAUUAUAAAGCUCAAAAGAGAGUUGAAGAUGCAGAGUUUUAUUGCACCCACUUUCUUCAUUAUUCUGGCCCAGUAAGUUUUACCUCUCAUUAAGUAACUAACUAAAGAGUCUAUUUCUCUCUACUUUCUUCAUUAUUCUGGCCCAGUAAGUCUUACCUCUCAUUAAAUAACUAACUAAAGAGUCUAUUUCUCUCUAUGAUAAGUUAAAAUAUGUUCUGCUAAACCGCUAAUCAUUCUGGAAAACAACACUUUGAACAGCUUCCUCACUGUUUUUGGUCAUUAACGCAGAAGAAGGAAACAACAAAGUGCUUGAAGGAAUAAGAUUUGAAAUGGAUGUUGAGCAUUCGGAGUGGCGGGUAGAAAUGAUUCAAGGGCAAAAGAAUGCAGAUAUAGUAAUCAUAUCUUUGUUCAGAAAAGUUGGCCUAGUGGUCCAUUAUUUGUGAGAUUAUUUCAUGGACUGCCACUUUGGCUGAAUUUUGUAAAAUCAUUAAUAUGUUUUUCUUCAUCUAAUCAACACAAAGAGUAGCACCUUGAGUAUCAUUCGGAAAACCCAUUCGAAUAUAGGACAUAUACAUCUUAAUACAAACUUGUCACAACCAUAUUUUACAGACACACCAUACUGCAAUACAUCCAGCACAACAGAUUAGAGUCGAUCAGAUCACAUUACAAAUCUUGAUUCAAGAUGAUAAGGGUGAACUCUGAUAACUUUAUUCGAACUCAGUUGCAGGAUAUUAAUUCUUUUGUGGAUCACUGAAGAACCUAUUAAGGGAAGGGAAAAUUUCUGGUGGUCUACUACGAGCAAACUUUCUAACGGCAUGUUCAGCAUUUUUUUGUCCCUCUUCAAAGUUCUCCAGAACACCGGCAGCUCUUUUCUCCUUGCUUACCCUGUCCCGUGAUAUUAUUAAACAAGAAAAAUGUUAAGUUCUUGUCCAGUGUAAAAAAUAGUAGACAUAUAAAUGUUGCUGCAAAUAUUCAAUUCAUUGUUGAAACAAGUCUGUUAUCACCACUACUAGGCAUGGAAUUUAUGAUACUAGUUUGACUUGUUUAUCAAAGUUGAUUUCAAAUUUUGAAGGGAGUAUUAUUAACCCUUUUCUUGUCUUUAAUUAGCUUGUGUUUUUUUAUCAUAGCUUUUUACAAUGGGGAAAGGGGAAUUGCUCCUACAUAUAUAGUCUUAGUAUAAUAGAAUUAUUCCUACAUAGUCUUAGUAUAAUUCAACAGAUCAUAUAACUUGAAUAGCAAAAACUAGAUGUGAUGUCAACGGUGCACUCAAACAUUAUGGUUAUCAAAAAAUAAAAAUAAAAAAUUGAUGAAAUAAUGAUGGAUAACAAAGAUUUGGACAAUUCACAACAUUCUUGUUCUUAUUUUGAUUGAAGAAAAGUAGAAGAUCUACUAAGUAAGCCCAUAUUGACCAUGAAUGUAGCCAACUCAGCUUUAGCCUUUAGCAGGCAGGGGAAAGAAGAGAAUCCAAGGUAUCCGAGGGUAACAAGUAAGGGGGGAAAACCUGUAUUUGAAAGGAAUUGACCAAAAGAGAAGCAUAUGUUCGUAUUUCCAUCUGAGGAAUUGACCAAAACUACUGUAGAAAUACACUAAAUUAUACUGCGAAAUAGAGUAAUAACAAAAAAGAAAAAAAAGCAAGUAUUUGAGGAGAGAAACAAGGCGAACCUGACUUCAGGAUUGAUACCCAUAUUACGAACUAGCUGAAGUCCACAGAUUCCAAUGGCAACACCUAUGGCUGCAAACAGUGGAUAUACCUGUACUCACACAUCAAGCUUAGAAAUUUCGGAAAUUUUGAACAAGUAUACAAAAAAGUGAAGGAUAAAAGAUACCUCAGGCCUGAGCCAGCGAUUAGUAGCCAUGGAAAGAAGCAGUUUGAUUACAACAAGGGACAAAGGAUGAUUCACAGAGAGAGACAAGGAUAGAGAUGAGGAUUGAGGAGUACUAGUACAAUAAUGGAGAGCAAUAAACAAGUUUUAUUAUGAUAAAUAUCAUAUUAUGUUGGAUGUCAACUCAUCUUCCAUGAUCUUCAUCUCAAAUACUUAAUGACAUAUUCAAUGACAUAUUUUGUAUGUUCAAUGAAAUAUUCCAUGACAUAUUUUCUUCACUUUACAAAAAUAAUCGGAUUACAAAAAUUAUACGGAAUUCAGAAUUUACCUAGAGAAAAUUUAAAACGGGCUUCUUUUACUUGUAAACAAUUCGCGACGAGGGUGAUCAAACUAGUUUACUUUAGCAGUGUUUAACAGCAAGUUUACUCGCGUUAAAAAUAUAAUCAAAAAAUAUCAACAGUCCCUGAUAUGAAUUAGCUCGGAGUUCAGUCAACCAUCUAAAUUUGUGAAACAAAAUAAAAACUUUAGAGAGUAAUUAUAAGAUCCUGCACUACAGACAAAAACCAGUAAGAAUAUGACAAGAAAGACAUCUGUUGCAAUCAAAACAACAAAUAAUGUUUUUGUACAGUGAAACCAACAAGAUACGCUGCAAGAGUAAUAUGGAGAGUAAUUUGCUGUAUAGCUAGUUAUCCAACAAAAAUUGUGAACGAUGAAUUAGUUAGAAUUUUUUGAUAAGCAUGAAUGAUGACAAAGAAUUACUGCCAGAAAACAGAUAUUAAACAUUAAACCUACAACAAUACAUAGCAGGAAAUCAUGUCAAAAUUAUAUUAAGUGAUACUCCAUAUAUAUUUAUGUGACUACAAGGAAAUUCUUCUGGCAAUAGCUAGCUAGCUAAUUUCUUUUACGAAGUGAUUAGUUCCAAUGAGAAACUGUAACCUAGCUAAAAGCUACUCCUAUUUUUACUGUAAAUUUCAUCUGGUACUUCAUUCAACAAAGUUAUAUAUAAAUUGAUUGCUGCAUGUCUCUCCUCCUGUCGGCCAUCGAUAUAUCUGCUUCCCCUUCAUUACUCAUGCUUACCAGAUUAUAUCUCCAAACUCGUCUAUUCCUAUGAGCAUAUCAUCUGCCCAAUUGACCUCCUCCUGUUGGUAGUUGGAGUAGUCAUUAAUAAUAUUGCUGUAAUUAUUGUAUUCGUUCAUCUUCUGUGUCUCGUGCAUAACUUGAUGUUGAUCAGCUGCUUGACAUAUUGUUGCUGUUUGUACUGUUGUGCAGUAAUCUUCAUUAGUUUCAUGCAACAUAGCUUCGAUUGUUUUUGGAACAUCUUGUUUCUCCAUAUUUACCCCAUGAAUUUUCUUUGAUCUUAUAUUCUUCUUGAUUAAAGAACCUUCUCUUCGGGAUGAUCAGAAUUAGCUUCAAAUAUCUCCCAUGGUGGUUGGUCUCCAUAGAUAUCGGCAAGUUGGAAAUUAUGGCAUUCACUCGAGCAAAAGCUUGCCCUUUAGGAACCUUUUCAGAAAGUUGAUCAACUCUGCUUCAGUAGGGUGAAACCGAACACCCAUGAUACACCCACGGCAUGCAGCCGGCACCAUCGACAUGGUAUAUAUGGUCGUCUCUUUUUCUUGCUUAUAGAGAAACACAAGAACGAGACAAUAGUAGUUGCCGCAAUAUGCAAAGACAAGAACUAGGAAACAAAACCAUAAACGAAUGGCGGAAGUUAAUUGAUGUGAAUGCUGUAAUAUAAUUGACUAUUUAUAGAUAUCUGAUCAGGUUAAUUCCAACAACGAAAAUUUAGGAAACAAAUUUAUAGGAGAGAAAAGAAGAGUUGAUUUCUGCGGAAGGUUAACGCUUGGGGCUCAAGUUAGUUUUUUCGUAAUAUACAAUGCGUAAAUUUUUAAAAUGCAUGUAUGAUUUAAUCUAUUUGGCGCAUUUCUUUCUUUUUAUGUGAUAAUUGUGGUUAGGAGAAAAGAAGUGGUGAUUUCUGCGGAAGGUUAACGCUUGGGACUCAAGUUAGUUUUUUCGUAAUAUACAAUGCGUAACUUUUUAAAAUGCAUGUAUGAUUUCAUCUAUUUGGCGCCUUUCUUUCUUUUUAUGUGAUAAUUGUGGUGUACUGGCCAGCUUGCGCGCACCUCGACUAGUCCCAUGGGAUACCUGUCACCUCCCACCAGCAACAAGUACCAGAAGGCUUGGACAAAUUUAAAGAGGUUUGAACCUCAGACCUCAUGGUUCUCACCCACUUCGUUGACCUCUAGGCUGCAUCCCGCAUGACCUUUCUUUUUAUUUUCUUUAAGGAGUUGAAUAACCCUUCCCCUUUGUGAGACCUCAUGGUUCUCACUCACUUCGUUGACCUCUAGGCUGCAUCCCGCAUGACCAUUCUUUUUAUUUUCUUUAAGGAGUUGAAUAACCCUUCCCCUUUGUCUUACCUAAAGGUGUUGGAGAGCGUUGCCUUGGGAGAUCUGCUUUUUAGUUUCAGCCAGUCUUGAAGUACUUGGUUUAUGCAUCACCGGAUUGCUGAGCAUGGAUCGCGGAUCAACGGUUUCCUUUUUCCGAUAUUACUACUUCCGACAAGAAAGACCUAUCUAUGCUGUUAUAUAGUGACUGAAUAGAAUGUUUGAAUUGCCAAUCUUUGGCGUUUUUGUGAAAAAUAGAGAGCAUACCUGAUAAUCAUGCAGGGAUAUUGUCAUAAUCUAUGCUGUAGAUAGAUUUUUCCAUCCAACCUCAACUAAGGCUUCAGGCUUCAGUGUCAUUAUAAAAGAUUAGAAACACUAAAUGAUUACAUACUAAAAACCAAUAGGUUCUCCUAAUACAAUAGCUCCCGCUGCAUUUACUACAACCCCUACUAACAUGAUAUAAGUGAAUAAUGCAUAUUACUUAAUAGACAAUAGCUCCCGCUGCAUUUACUACAGCCCCUACUAACAUGAUAUAAGUGAAUAAUGCAUAUUACUUAAUAGAUUUUCAACUCUUUCUUUUUUUUUGAUAAAGUAAAGAUUUUCAGCUCAAUUUUAUUCCGUUCUAUUUGGAGUACUCAUAAUCUGGUACUUUUGGAACCGAUGUUGCAAUUUUUUUAGCCAAGUGUUUCUACACUACUCAUUUUGUAGAAUGUUAAUUUUUAGUUAUGAGUUAGUUGCAAUGUUUCACAAGUACAUAAGGGGCUUUUGGAUGAGUUUUCUGUAGCCAAGUGUUUCUACACUACUCAUUCUGUAGAAUGUUAAUUUUUAGUUAUGAGUUAGUUGCAAUGUUUCACAAUUACAUAAGGGGGCUUUGGGAUGAUUUUUCUGAGAAUAUUAAGCUGAAAAUCAGCAAUGGAAAGUGAAUAAAAAUGUGGAUAGACAAGUCGCUAGAUGAUAUUCCUCUCAAAGACCAAUUCCAAACCUUUACACAAUCAGUUCCAAUAAGGACUGCACUACGGCUGACUGCUUUUCUCCUUGUGGAUGGAACCUGCAGGCUACAUCUGAGGAGAAACAUGAAUGAUUGAGAGAUUGGUUGUAUUAAUGUCCAGAAGUUGGAGUCGGUUUCUCUUGACACUCUAAUGUGGAAGAUGAAGAAAAGAUGGAAAGUUUAGUUGUAUUAAUGUCCAGAAGUUGGACGAUGUUUCUCUUGACACUUUAAUGUGGAAGAUAAGAAAAGAUGGCAAGUUUACUGUUAAUGCUUGCUACAAAAGUCUACUAAAGAAUAGAGGAGGAGUCUCAAGUUAGUUGGCCAAGGAAGAUUACCUGGAAGACAAUUGCAAUUAAAUUGGAUUGCCACUUGUCAAGCUUACUUAACUCAAGAUAACUUGCAGAAGAGAGGCCUACCUAUGUAUAGCAGAUAUUUCCUUUGUGAGGAGGCUAAUGAAUUUGUCACUCACAUACUGCUUCAUUGCACCUUCACAAGGCAGAUUUGAUUAGUGUUCCUUAGUAUUUUUGGGUUCUAAUGGAUCAUGCCAGGAGUUAUCAAACUUACUCUAUGCUGCUGGCAUAAGCGCUUGUUUCGGCAACAGACAGUUCUGGAAAGCUGUUCCUAAUUGUACUUUCUGGAACACUUUGAUAGGGAGAAACAAUAGGUGCUUUAAUGAUAAGAGGGACAACAUUUCAUUUGUAAAUUUGUGGACUAAGAACAGUAUUGUCUGACAUAAACCCACUGUCUGCAUUCUCUAUAAGAGGGACAAUAUUUCAUUUGUAAAUUUGUGGACUAAGAACAGUAUUGUCUGACAUAAACCCACUGUCUGCAUUCUCUUCAAUCUGUAGAAGUAUGCUUCCCGCUUUCUGGUGUAAUCUCUCAGUACCAUCUUGGUACAUUCAAUAAAAUAUCUACCUUUUCAUAAACAAAAAAGUUUCGGAAGUAGAAAAUAGGCUUGUGUGGUUCCCUCUUUUCCAUUUUUAUCUGUACUUUGUAUUUUAUAGUUUCACAACAACAACCUAGUAAUCACACUUAGUGGGGUCUAGGGAGGGUAGUUUGUACGCAGACCUUACCCCUACCCUUGGGUAGAGAGGCUGUUUCUAAAUAGACCCCCGGCAUCCUUCCCUCCAAGAACUUCCCACCUUGCUCUUGGGAAGACUCGAACUCACAACCUCUCAGCUGGAAGUGGGGGUUGCUUACCAUCAGAGCAACCCCUCUUGUCUUGAUACUCACGGACCUGAGUGCAUUAAUAUGUUGUGUAUCAUAUUAUACAUCAGUUGACAGAUUUAGUGGUAAAGACUCAACAGCGAAAUUAACAUCACCAAAUAUUGGAUGAAAUCAACCAUCAUUUCUCGGUAAUAACAGCUCAUCCAUUGACACCAUUAUGAUGUAUAUCUCAGUAUAAUCACAGAGACGGAUUGCAGGAAAAAAAAUGAAAAAACAAGAACUAAAGAACUGUAGUCUAAUUUCACCUUUUGCAUAAGUUGCGACUAUGUCUGAACAUAGAAGAUUGUUUUUUGUGGCGCAAAAGAAAAGCAGACAAAUCCUCCAUUGAGUUGCACCCAUUCAAUAUGACUAACCAAUCCUUGAUGUACACAAAAAAAUUUAUGCACUGUUGGCAAAAUGUAAUUACAUUUGUAGGAUGAGCAUGCAUAAACCAACACUGUUGGCAAUAAUGAUUCAUGUAAUGCGCAAGCUGUUGGAAUUGCCAACUAAAACUCAGAUUAAAAGAUAAAACGUAAUGUACCCAAGGGUGUGACCUAGUGGUCAAUGCGCAAGUAUCUAAUGCGCAAGUUGUUGGAAUUGCCAACUAAAACUCAUAUUAAAUGAUAAUGUACCCAAGGGUGUGGCCUAGUGGCCAAUGCGCAAGUAUCCUGUGGAAUUAGGCGAGGUGCGCGCAAGCUGCCCGAGCACCACGGUUAUAAAAAGAAAAAGAAGAUAAAUGUAAUAAUCCAAACAAAAAUAGCAGAAAAUUUGCAGCAGAACCAUGACUGACAUAAUCUAUCAUUAAUUAGGAAAUGCGUUAAGUAAUAAAUAUUACUAGAUCCUAAAAGUAUGAGAUAUAACACCAUUUGUGAAAUAAUAACUCUAGCGUUUCAAUAAGCUAAGUGAAAAUUCUCACGUAUGCAAAGUGGGAUUAUACUGCGUUGUUAUUUUAUAGUCAAAGUGCUAUUCAAUUAGCGAAGAACCAAGUUUAUCAUGCAAAAACGAAGCACAUUGAUGUUCGGUAUCAUUAGUGGUGACUGCGAUCAAGUUUCAACAUUGUUGAACACUGAAGAUUGAAGAUGAAACACAACCAAAAUUUGUUACCGAGAGAAAAUUGAAGAUGUGGUAUUUCGCCAAGGUGGAGAUUUGUUGAAUAUGUCUUCAUCCCACAUCGGUGGGAGAUUCAUUUGGGGGAGAGUUUCUCCCUAUAAAAGGAGGCCUAAUGUUUAGGAUUUAAAUGCACCUCUCAUUUUCCUUCUCAUCUGUUUAAGGCAUUUGUAUCUUCUCUCUUUAGUAUUAUUUUACUUGUAUUUUAGAGUGAAAUAAAACGUUGGUUGUGUCCGAGGAAUAGGCAAAAUUGGCCGAACCUCGUAAAUUCUGGUGUUCCUUUUAUUGUUGCUUUAUUGUCUUAUUUAUUAUUUGGUGGUUACCAUAUUUUUUGGAAUAGUAGUUGUGACUCAUUCACACUAUAUACAUUUGGCUUCCGCAACAGUUUAUGCAAUGGACCAGGUAAAUCACAUGCUUAUCUAUGUGGUGAAUGCAGUUUUACUAAAGCAGUAUGGGAAAGGCUUAUGCAAUGGCUAUGAAUUCAUGUGGAUCCCAAGCAGUACUCUUUUACACAGAUGAUGGCAUGGGUAGUAAAACAAGCUAAGGGAAAAUCAUGUGCAGCUAGAGUAAUGAAAAUGGUAUAUGCAGAACAAAUCUAUGGGACAUAGAAGGAGAGAAACAAUAGAAUAUUUGAAGAGACAAACAUGACUGCAGAUCAAGUAGCAAGAGAAGUGGCAUGUGUUUGCAAUAUUAGAGCUCAAGGAGGAAUGAGGGCAAAACUGCAUCAGCUUAUGUUCUGAAAACAAUGUAGAAACUAACCAGUCAUUUGUAUAGUAUUCUUAUAUGUACUGCUCAUAGCGUAGGAUAGACCUAGACUAUAUGUAAAGAUUAAGUGAGUCGAGGACUCUACUGAUUUGUAAUGACCUCUUUAGUGAUUAAUGGAAAAUAUAAUUACAAAAAAAAAACUAGCUAUAAUCCUUUUUAAUUUUUUUUUCUUUUUUGAACCCCUUAGGGAAAAUCUUGCAUCCGCUUGUGGUCACAAAUGUUGUUAAACGUUCGCUUUGAUAAAACAUUAUUACUCCACUAUGCACGCAUCUUCUUUUGUGUUAGUCAAAAAUGGUCAUCACUUGAUGUUGAUGCUAUUAGGAGAGUUUUAUAAUGUCUUCGAAGGCUAGAUUCCGAUUUUUUUUCCCUCUCCUGGGUAUGCUCUGCCCUUUGCAUACGUGAGAAUUUUCACUUAGCUUAUUGAAACGCUAGAGUUAUUAUUUCACAAAUGGUGUUAUAUCUCAUACUUUUAGGAUCUAGUAAUAUUUAUUACUUAACGCAUUUACUAAGUAAUGCUAGAUUAUGUUAGUCAUGGUUCUGCUGCAACUUUUCUGCUAUUUUUGUUUGGAUUAUUACAUUUAUCUUCUUUUUCUUUUUAUAACCGUGGUGCUCGGGCAGCUUGCGCGCACCUCGCCUAAUUCCACAGGAUACUUGCGCAUUGGCCACUAGGCCACUCCCUUGGGUACAUUACGUUUUAUCAUUUAAUCCGAGUUUUAGUUGGCAAUUCCAGCAACUUGCGCAUUACAUGAAUUAUUAUUGCCCGCAGUGUUGGUUUAUGCAUGCUCAUCCUACAAAUGUAAUUACAUUUUGAUAAAAGGAAACUACAAAAUACAAAGUACAGAUAAAAAUGAAAAAGAGGGAACCACACAAGCCUAUUGUCUACUUACGAAACUUUUUUGUUUAUGAAAAGGUAGAUAUUUUAUUGAAUGGUCCCAAGAUGGUACUGAGAGAUUACACCAGAAAGCGGGGAGCAUACUUCUACAGAUUGAAGAGAAUGUAGACAGUGGGUUUAUGUCAGAGACAAUACUGUUCUUAGUCCACAAAUUUACAAAUGAAAUGUUGUCCCUCUUACCAUUAAAGCACCUAUUGUUUCUCCCUAACAAAUAUUGCAUGCUAUUUUAUUUAUGAUUCUUAUUCUUAUGUUUAGAUAAUUAUGUACGCUUUUUCGGCUGAAGUUACUAAUGUUCUUUUGUUUUUGUGUUUGUUUUUGUUUUUGUUUUUGUUUUUGUUUUUGUUAUUGUUUUUGUUUUUCCUUCAAUGAGCCGAGGGUCGAUUGGAAACAGCCUCUCUGCCCUUUCGGAAUGUCCUUUUGUUUUUGUUAUUCCUUUUCUCUCCUGAGCCAAGGGUCGAUUGGAAACAGUCUCUCUGCCCUUUCGGACAGGGGUAAGGCCUGUCUACAUAUUACCCUCCCCAGACCCCACUUCGUGGGACUAUACUGGGUAGUUGUUGUUGUUGUUGAAAAGGUAGAUAUUUUAUUGAAUGGUACCAAGAUGGUACUGAGAGAUUACACCAGAAAGUGGGGAGCAUCCUUCUACAGAUUGAAGAGUCUGUAGAAGAGAAUGCAGACAGUGAGUUUAUGUCAGAGACAGUACUGUUCUUAGUCCACAGAUUUACAAAUGAAAUGGUGUCCCUCUUAUCAUUAAAGCACCUAUUGUUUCUCCCUAACCAAGUGCUCCAGAAAGUACAAUUAGGAACAGCGUUCCAGAUCUGUCUAUUGCUCAAACAACUGCUUAUACCAGCAGCAUAGAGUAAGUUUGAUACUUCCUGGUAUAACCCAUUGGACCGCAAAAAUACUAAGAAAAUCUGCUUUGUGAAGGUGCAAUGAAGCAGUAUGUGAGUGACGGAUUCAUUAGCCUCGUCACAAAGGAAACAUCUGCUACACAUAGGUAAGCCUCUCUUCUAGAAGUUAUCUUGAGUUAACGCAAUGAAGCAGUAUGUGAGUGACAGAUUCAUUAGCCUCGUCACAAAGGAAACAUUGCUACACAUAGGUAGGCCUCUCUUCUGCAAGUUAUCUUGAGUUAAGCAAGCUUGACAAGUAGCAAUCCAAUUUAAUUGCAAUUGUCUUCCAGGUAAUCUUCCUUGGCCAACUAACUUGAGACUCAUCUAUUCUUUAGUAGACUUUUGUAGCAAGCAUUAACACUAAACUUGCCAUCUUUUCUUCAUCUUCCGCAUUAGAGUGUCAAGAGAAACCGGCUCCAACUUCUGGACAUUAAUACAAUCAAUCUCUCAAUCAUUCAUGUUUCUCCUCAAGGAGAAAAGCAGUCAGCCGUAGUGCAGUCUUUGUGUAAAAGUCUGGGAAUUGGUCUUUGAGAGGAAUAUCAUCUAGCGACCUGUCUAUUCACAUUUUUAUUCACUUUCCAUUGCUGAUUUUCAGCUUGAUAAUCUCAAAAAACUCAUCUCAAAGCCCCUUAUGUACUUGGGAAACAUUGCAACUAACUCAUAACUGAAAAUUUACAUUCCACAAAAUUGAGUAGGGUAGAAACACUUGGCUAAAAGAAAAUUACAACAUAAGUUCAAAAGUACCAGAUUAAGAAUACUCCAAGUAGAACGGAAUAAAAUUGAGCUGAAAAUCUUUACUUUAUCAAAAAGGGGGGGGGGGGGGGAAAUCUAUUAAGUAAUAUGCACUAUGCACUUAUAUCAUGUUAGUAGGGGCUGUAGUAAAUGCAGUGGGAGCUAUUAAGUAAUAUGCAUUAUUCACUUUUAUCAUGUUAGUAGGGGUUGUAGUAAAUGCAGUGGGAACUAUUGUAUUAGGAGCACCGGUAGGUUUUGAGUAUGUAAUCAUUUAGGGUGUGAUUGGUAUAACGCAAAAUAUUUUCCGUGAAAAAUACUUUCCAAGAAAAUAUUUUCUUCGAAAACAAGUAGUAAUCUUAUUUAUUUUCCGGUGUUUAAAAUAUUUUCCGUGAAAAAUGCUUUCCAAGAAAAUAUUUUCUUGAAAAACAAGUAGUAAUCUUAUUCAUUUUCCGGUAUUCGGUAUGCAAAUUAAGGAAAAUAACUUCUCAAGAGUAUUCAUAAAUAAUUUAGAUACAAUAAUCAUGAAACCUUAAACAAUUGAACCAACAACCUUCCGAACCCACAAAUUUCAUAAACUUCCGAACUGCUAAACUUCGAAACAGCGAACUUGACCGGAAAAAAAAACAGAAAUUUGAAAGAGAAAAAAAGCCUUUUUUGGAGAGAGGGGGUGGGGCAGGUAGGCAUUGGGGUGGGUGGGUGUAGCAUGGGUUGAUGAGGGUGGAAAAGGUUGAGAAGGAGUUUGGGAAAAUGUUUUUCUCUAGAUAAGGAAAACCUUUUCCUCCAAUUGGAGGAAAAUGAGUUCAUAAGGAAAAACAUUUUCCUCCUUCCAUGAUCAUCAGGUAUGCUCUCUAUUUUUCACAAAAUCGCCAAAGAUUGGCAAUUCACACAUUCUAUUCAGUCCAUAGAUGGGUUUUUCUUGUCGGUAGUAGUAAUAGCGGGAAAAGGAAACCGCUGAUCCGGGAUCCAUGCACAGCAAUCUAGUGAUGCAUAAACCAAGUACUUCAAGACUGACUGAAACUAAAAUGCAGAUCUCGCAAGGCAACACUCUCCAACAACCUUUAGGUAAGACAAAAGGAAAGGCUUAUUCAACUUCUUAAAGAAAAAUAAAGAAAAAGAUCAUGCUUACACCCAGGGAUGCGGCCUAGAGGCCAAUGAAAUGGGAGGGAAAGGCUUAUUCAACUCCUUAAAGAAAAAUAAAGAAAAAGAUCAUGCCAACACCCAGGGAUGCGGCGUAGAGGCCAACGAAAUGGGAUCUCAGGUUUAAAUCCCAACGGAGACAAAAACACUAGGUGAUUUUUGUAAAUUUGUCCAAGCCUUAUGAUACCUAUUGUUGGUGGGAGGUGACAAGUAUCCUGUGGGACUAGUCGAGGUGCGCACAAGCUGGCCAGGACACCACAAUUAUCACAUAAAAAGAAUGAAAGGCGCCAAAUAGAUGAAAUCAUACAUGCAUUUUAAAUUGUAUCAGCAACAAUUUCGAAUAUUAUACAGUAUAGACUUGAAUCAAUGCAAGUUAGUUAAUGAUCACGAAAAGUUGAACACAAGAAUUUCUAUCUUUGUGUUGAGUUAUAGCUUAUUGUUGUUUCAAGCAAAGACCAAAAUCACAGAGAAGGUGUCUGAAAAUGCUAGGAAUUCAAAGUGUCAGCAUGUUCAUCAACUAGUGUCUUUGGGAUCAAGCAGUUGAAGCGAGCACAUAUAAACUUGAGAGAAUUAAAUUGCUUAUUGAACUGUUUCCCCUUUUUUGGGUAACAACAACACCACCAAAGUCAUCAAAGAGAGCACAUAUAAACUUGAGAGAAUUAAAUUGCUUAUUGAACUGUUUCCCCUUUUUGGGUAACAACAACACCACCAAAGUCAUUCAUCAACUUAGCAAUUACGAAUCAACAACAACAACAACUACCCAGUAUACUCCCACCAGGUGGGGUCUGGGGAGGGUAAUAUGUAGACGAGCCUUACCCCUACCCGAAAGGGCAGAGAGGUUGUUUCCAAUCGACCCUCGGCUCAUAGGAAAAGUUACAAAUGCCAUUUCUAAUAAAUGAGCAGAAUAUUAUUUAGAAGAUGUAUUGAGACCAAAUUCUAAACACUCAUCAGACAAGACAAGAAACGGAGGAUGAAGAACUCCUACAACAACUACUACUGAUCAGAAUAUUGUUUAGGAUUCUAAACACUCAUAAGAAAAUUGUUUAGAAAGACGUUUGGAUAUUCACUUUUCCUAGGAAAGUUCUACUAUUCUAAGACAUAAUGUGACCAAAUAACAUCAUAAAAUUGGACAAAAUAUGUAAUUGGAAAUGGGUAACUUAUGUUCCUAUGUCGUAAUUAUAAAGAAAAGACCUCAAAUAUUUACAACUUGCACAAAAUGCUUAUAGCUUUUUGCUCUUUGCACUAAGUUAUUAAUUACAACUAUGAGAGUAUGAUUGACGAACUACCUAUAAGUCGAUAAAAGCUUUACUUCCGAAAGUUUAUAGAUGGAUUUUAAGGAUUAGAUAGCAACAUUUUACCAAGCAAGAAAAUUUACAAAGGCAAGCAAUUUGUUUGAGAAGAGUAACCCCAAUGUCUAAUAGACGUGAAGGCGAACACUUACCCAUUAGACUAAAGCAUAGACAUGAAUAUAUCACACAAAUUUUAAGUGAAACCAACACUAGAAUAAUCGAACAGAACUAAAAGAAUAUGUUUAUAAAAAAUAUUACCAAAUAAAGAAAAAGGAGCAGCGAAACGAUUUUUCUGAUUAACCAAGAAAGCAAACAAUGAAUAUCGAAUAUCCAACAUCGAUAGCAAACAUCGAACAAAAAUCUCAUGGUUUCAAACGAAAAAUCAAAACUUGACAAAUAAAUGCCCCAAUUUUGCAAACUAGAAAUCACAGCGAAUAUCGAACAUUGACUGCAAAAAUGAAACACAUAAAAUAUUACCAGAAAGAUUAGGGCAGCAAAAUGAUUUUCCUAGAUAUUACCAGAGAAAGAAAAAAGGAGAAAAUGGAGAAAGAAAAAGGAGCAGCGAAAGAUAAAAUUAACCGAGAAAGAAAAAGCCCCCGAAAUAAUACCAGAGAAAGAAAAAAGGAGCAACGAAACUAUUUUCUAAAUAGCCAAGAAAGAGAAUAUCGAUAGCAAACAUGGAACAAAGAAAAUCUCAUAGUUGCAAACAGAAAAUCAAAACCUAACAAAUAAAUCCCUCAACUUUGCAAACUAUAAAUCACAAAUGUAUCAUGUAAUAUAAAUAAAGCAGAAGCAAAAUAAUGUGUUUACAAGAACUAAUACCAGAUAAAGAAAACAUAAGUGGAAAAAGAAAGAGAAAAUCGAAUAGUUAUACAAACAUCAAACAUGGGAAUAAUUGAUAACCUACCUCGAAGAUAACUCGUAUGUUAGCCGAAACUAGUUUUCAUUCACCGGCAGUAGUCAUCCUUCGCCGGAGCUGGCCGAUAGAGUUCGUCAAUGGUGAGGUCGACGCGUUCUAGGUUGAGGAUGGGAGAGAGCUUAGCAAUUACGAAUCAUAUUCUUAAAUUUUGAACUGCAAAGAUUCAGUAAAUGUAUGACCGCAAUUUAUUUUCUAAACUUUCAUUAAGAAUAAAAGAGGGAAAAAGGAACCUGUAUACACGAAUGUGGUUUUAACUGGAUGUCACCAUCAGUGUCAUUUUUUGUGUAUAUAUCAACAACAAGAAGUGCUGAAUUAUCCGGCAGAAGCAAAAAUGGGAGCAUUUUGAUAUCGUCCAAUGACAUUGUGCACCUCCGUUUGCAUGAUAUACCUAAUUUGCAACUCCACCUCGUUUAAGUCCUAGGCCAAAGUCAGAGCACUCUGCUAAACAACACAAGUUCUUUUUAGUGGCAUGCUUUUUAAGUCAGUUUCAUAAAAAACUCUUCACAUCCAUCAUACUUAUCCACAUCUUACCACACUCCAAAAUUGAAUUUCAUGGGAAGCAACAAACUUAUCUCAUUUAGAGCUUUAAGAUUUCAUUAAGCUCCAAAUAGGCACUUAGUUUGGGUAUCAUCCUUACACUGAUGUGCUUCACAGUUUAAAAUGGUAGCGGAGGCGGCCAGAUUUGCUUAGCAAACUAAAAAUAUCCUUUGCAAAAUCUUGAUUACCAGUUAGCAAAAGCCCAUUUAGGAUCCGGUUGAAGGUAAAUUUUCGAGGAAGAAAUCCUCUGUCAACCAUUUCUGUCAAUAGUUUCCCAGCCAAUAAUAAAUCAUCUGAUUUUUUCCUAACAAACAUUGCACUUAUAAAAAUAUUAUAUGUAUCCAGAUUAGGUAAACAAUCGUCGGUACUCAUCCUCUCAAACACCCUCAGGCCCUUCUCAAUUUCCCCUUCAUCACAAUAAUAUCGGAUGACAACAUUAUAAGUCUGAACAUUUGGUUCACACCCAUCCUCUUUCAUCUUAUCCAUAUAU
RNAcentral lists this long non-coding RNA (17952 nucleotides) under Nicotiana benthamiana. RNAcentral's name for it is "long non-coding RNA (NBEN_LNC013434)". The record is from RNAcentral. Lineage: Eukaryota; Viridiplantae; Streptophyta; Magnoliopsida; Solanales; Solanaceae.